This 108-nucleotide ribosomal RNA is filed under the name Felis catus (domestic cat). Lineage: Eukaryota; Metazoa; Chordata; Mammalia; Carnivora; Felidae. The record is from RNAcentral.
GUCUACGGCCACACCCCCUGAACGCGCCCGAUCUCGUCUGAUCUCGGAAGCUAAGCAGGGUCGGGCCUGGUUAGUACUUGGAUGGGAGGUAAGUAGGUGGUUUAGACA